RNAcentral lists this ribosomal RNA (406 nucleotides) under uncultured bacterium. RNAcentral's name for it is "partial 16S ribosomal RNA". It matches the Rfam family "Bacterial small subunit ribosomal RNA", at positions 30 to 526 of the family's 1533-position model. The record is from RNAcentral.
AUUGAACGCUGGCGGCAGGCCUAACACAUGCAAGUCGAACGAGUGGCGGACGUGUGAGUAAUGUCUGGGACACUGCCCGAUGGAGGGGGAUAACUACUGGAAACGGUAGCUAAUACCGCAUACCCUCGGAUGUUCCCCGAUGGGUAUAGUUAGUAGGUGGGGUAACGGCUCACCGAGGCGACGACCCCUAGCUGGUCUGAGCGGAUGACCAGCCACAAUGGAACGGAGAACCGGUCAAGACUCCUACGGGAGGCAGCAGUGGGGAAUAUUGCACAAUGGGGGCAAGCCGGAUGCAGCCAUGCCGGUGGUAGGAAGAAGGCCUUCGGGUGGUAAAGUACUUUCAGCGAGGAGGCUUAACUCGAAGAAGAAGAACCGGCUAACUCGGUGCAAGCAGCCGCGGUAAUUC